CAGUAGCCACGGUAAUACGAACCGUGCGAACGUUAUUCGGGAUCACUGGGCUUAAAGCGCGUGUAGGCGGGCCGCCACGUCGGCUGCUGAAAUCCCCCGGCUCAACCGGGGAAGUGGCACCGAUACGAGCGGCCUGGAGGGGGGUAGGGGGGACUGGAACUUCCGGUGGAGCGGUGAAAUGCGUUGAGAUCGGAAGGAACGCCCGUGGCGAAAGCGAGUCCCUGGACCCUUACUGACGCUGAGACGCGAAAGCCAGGGGAGCGAACGGGAUUAGAUACCCGAGUAGUCCCUGUCUCUUAUA
This 301-nucleotide ribosomal RNA is filed under the name uncultured bacterium. RNAcentral describes it as "partial 16S ribosomal RNA". It matches the Rfam family "Bacterial small subunit ribosomal RNA", at positions 509 to 807 of the family's 1533-position model. The record is from RNAcentral.